GUCUGGGAAACUGCCUGAUGGAGGGGGAUAACUACUGGAAACGGUAGCUAAUACCGCAUAAUGUCGCAAGACCAAAGUGGGGGACCUCCGGGCCUCAUGCCAUCAGAUGUGCCCAGAUGGGAUUAGCUAGUAGGUGGGGUAAUGGCUCACCUAGGCGACGAUCCCUAGCUGGUCUGAGAGGAUGACCAGCCACACUGGAACUGAGACACGGUCCAG
This 216-nucleotide ribosomal RNA is filed under the name uncultured bacterium. Its description in RNAcentral is "partial 16S ribosomal RNA". It matches the Rfam family "Bacterial small subunit ribosomal RNA", at positions 115 to 334 of the family's 1533-position model. The record is from RNAcentral.